Anser brachyrhynchus (Pink-footed goose) is the source of this 2115-nucleotide long non-coding RNA. The record is from Ensembl. NCBI's taxonomy places the organism in Eukaryota, Metazoa, Chordata, Aves, Anseriformes, Anatidae.
UCUCGCUAUUCGCCUUUUGCAUAAAGGUUCGGUUUGGUUAUUUUUAACACUUCAUGGUGCCUUUCCUCUGGGCUUUCUCAUGCAAAGUGCAAAGCGAGGAGAGAGGUUCAUCGGGGAAAGGAGGAGGGAGAAGAGACCGAAGACAAAAAAAAAAUCAGAGUCGAUAUCGCAACCAAAAUAAUAACAAUCAUUAAGAAAAAAAAAAAAAAAAAACACAACUCAACCCCAAUGCUACGGCAAGAAGAUGAAAAAUAUUUUAAAGGUUUCAUCCAGCAGGAGAGUUUAAAAGCAUUGCAGAGUUUUAUAGCGCUCCUGACGUCAGCCUCCGAAUGGCAAAUUGGCUGGGCGGGCGGCCCAAUGGGCUGCCUGCAGCCGCCGGCAUUAGCAUAAUAGUAUAGAAACAAGGAAACUUUUCGGGGCUGUCAAUCAGGGCGCAACCAGCUGACUGUCAGCUGGGAGCGCCGUAACCCCUUCCUGCCCGCCCCGCUCGCCGGGGACCGGGCACCGGGCUGGGGCCGCUCCGCCCGCCGGGACGCGCCGUCGGGUGCCCGCCCGGCUCCGCUCCGCUCCGCGCUGCCUCGCUUUGUCCUGCUUUGCUUUGUCCUGCUCUGCCCUGCUCUGCCCUGCUCUGCCCCGGGGUGAGGAGCCCCCGGGUGCUCCUGGCCGGCCGGGCACCCGAGGGCACCAUGGGGACUUGGCCCGGGGGCGUGCGGGGACUGCCCGAGGGAGGGGGCGGCUCCGCGGGGCUCCGCGGUGCUGCCGAGCGCAGCCGGGCUCCAGCCGGUGCCUGGUGCCGGUACCGAGACCCCCGGGCCGCCCCCCCGCGGCGGCUCCCCCCUGGGUUUGCCGCUCGCUGCCGGCCGCGAUCGUUCCCCGGCCGCCCCCAGCAGAGAGGUCCGAAAGCCCUGCAAGUUUGCAAGCCCCGCUCCCGCCGGCGCUCGGCCCGCCUGGCCGGGCUAAUUAACGGAAUACAUCGCGAACUAAUUGUCUUCCCUUUAGCCUCCCCUCCCGGUGCCCCCCGGCCGGGGCUGGAGGGGGAAGCCGUGCGAGCGCGGAGCGGGCUGCACCCGGCGGUGCCGAGCGGCGGCGGAGCGGCUCCGUUCAAACCUCGACAGCGCCAUCUCUCGUCGAAAGGGACCGUUUGGCGCUGAAGAUCUCCGUAAACCUUCUGAUCAAUGGCCAGAGAAGAAGCAUGGUCCAGAAAUACUGCAGGGUCCUUAGUUCCUUUCUUCAGUAACACUGUGAGAAUAUAAACUGUUUGGCGACAAGCAUUCAUCAGUUUGGGAAGAAGAGGCUCAAAUUCUUUUACUCCUCACUUAUCAGCAUAGGAGAAGAAAACAUUAGCUGAGACCGUAAGGUCUUCUCUUCCUUGUCUUGAUUUGGCCACAGCAAAACAGAUAUAACCAUACUGUCUAUGGGGGAACCGUUCAGCAUGAGCCAGCAUAGGAAACGUGAGAAGGGAGCGCCAAAGACCUGAACCGUAACAAUGGCAUGAAUACUGUUAUCACACGUACAUGGGACAAACUGCGAUCCUUCAGACGUUUCCCUGCAGACUCACCAUUUCUCUUUGCCAAAUCUGAGCCCUUCUUGCACAACAUAAAGCUUUCCCAGCAGAGGUGGCCUGGGCAGCAUCUUAUUUUUUCAUUGCCAGCAACUAUUUCUGAGAAAGGCUAGAACAGAGCGUGCCAGAGUCUGGAAUUAGAUACAAAUUAAUUGCAUGUAAUUACUCAAGAGCAUCAAGUAUCUUUUCAGGAUUUUAUGCUUAUUGUUAUUGUAAUGAUGUUCAAUUUGCAAAUACAAUUAUUGUAAAUUGCUCUAUUGAUAACUUCAGCCUCUCUAUUGUGUGUGAUCACCUCACCACGUUUCUUGUGGUCUCCUGAAAUGAGGCUUUUUUUUAACCACCAUGCAGACACAAAUAGAGCUGAAAAUUGACUGCUGUUCUUGCAAUGGCUUUCUGCUACUCAGAAGUGGGGAACUAGUAAAUUAUUAGCUUUCGAUUAAAUUAAAAUGUCACUGCAACAUCUAAGAAGCCAAAGUCAUAAAAACUUUAUUUUUGUCUUUCACCAGAAGCCUGCUAAUAAUAAAUUACUAACACUUUGGUUCCUGUAUUCUUUU